This is a ribosomal RNA of 476 nucleotides. It matches the Rfam family "Bacterial large subunit ribosomal RNA", at positions 1831 to 2570 of the family's 2925-position model.
GUCUAUAUGAAGUUAUAUGAAGUCUAGCCUGCCCAUUGAAUAAUUUUAAAAGGCCGCGGUAUAUUAACUGUGCAAAGGUAGCAUAAUCAUUAGUUUUUUAAUUGAAGGCUCGUAUGAAGGGUUGGACAAAGAAAGAUCUGUUUUUAUUUUUAUUUUUGAAUUUGACUUUUAAGUGAAAAGGCUUAAAUAAAUUUAAGGGACGAUAAGACCCUAUAAAUCUUUAUAUUAAUUAUUUUAUUAGUUAAUAGGUAGAUAGAUAAUAAAAUAAAAUAUUGUGUUGGGGUGAUAAGAAUAUAAAAUAACUGUUCUAAAAUAAAACAAAGUUAUUUGUGUGAGUAGUGGAUCCUUUGUUGAGAUCAAAAGUUUAAGUUACUUUAGGGAUAACAGCGUUAUUUUUUUUGAGAGUUCUUAUCGAAAAAAAAGUUUGCGACCUCGAUGUUGAAUUAAAAUUUCUUUGUGGUGUAGUAGCUAUAAGA